Molecule: long non-coding RNA, 998 nt
Filed under: Amborella trichopoda
Lineage: Eukaryota; Viridiplantae; Streptophyta; Magnoliopsida; Amborellales; Amborellaceae
Description: long non-coding RNA (ATRI_LNC001895)
Source: RNAcentral
UUAAAAAGUGAGCUUUGAUGAGAACAUCCAGAGCGAGAGGUAAAAGCGCCAAACACCGUCUCCUUCUGUAAAGGGUUAAAGAUGUUACAGUCUCGGAAGCGAUGUUCCAAAACUUCGGACUCGCUCAAGUUACUGAGCCUCGGUUAGUGGCGAACUUGAUUCCUAGGUACUUUCUCAGGUACGCGAGAAAUCAGAUAAAUGAAAAAGCAUAAAGUACUGAAAACACUGGGGCGGUACAUAAUCACUUGAUUACUGUAGACCUCGCGCAUUCUCACCCACCCAAAUUUUACAGUCUGUUUAAUUUGUUGACAGGCAAUGGCAGCAAGUCCUGGGGCAGGGCACCUUGAAGUCGUGGCUAACCGGCAACCUUAAAUAGGUUGCCUACCUUCUUCUUCUUUUUUUUGGCAUAUUGAUGGUGGAAAUCGAGGUGCAUCAACCUCCCUGACCACUGAUGCGGCCCCCCAUUACCUGCCUCGCCAUCUUCAAAUCAAGGGUGUUGAUGUGAAGGCCCGUCUCAAAUAAAGGGGUUAGAUUUUCUUUUCCCUCUCCUGCAAUUUCUAAUUCCCAAACAUACGGAGCAAUGGAGAUAUAUUGUGUUUCUAAAACAAGAGCAAGCGGGAGGGGUGAAGAUCGAGUAUAUGGAUGAUUUGGAAGCCAUUUCUAACCAUUGUAUUUAUUAGGGCAAAUUCCCAUUCAAGGGGUCGAGACUCCUAAAAAAAUCCGUAAGGGCUCAAAAUAUCCAUUUAUAUGCUAGGAGGGUUUGCUUCGUAAUUUUUAUUUUACUCGGGCCUCCUCCAAAAGUCUCUCCAAACAUAGCUAGAUAAGUUACCCUUGUUUAGAGUUGGGAACCCUAAACAAGCAUAUGAGUAUUUCGAUAACUCGAGAUCUCGGCUAAAUGUAAGGGGUGGGUUAACUUAAUGUGGUAUCUUUGCUUGUUUAGGGCCACAAUUUAGGUAUUUUCUUUGAAGAGUUUUAAAAUAAAUCCUUUGAUAUUAAAU